Molecule: ribosomal RNA, 433 nt
Filed under: Ochterus sp. MBH-2004
Lineage: Eukaryota; Metazoa; Arthropoda; Insecta; Hemiptera; Ochteridae
Description: partial 16S ribosomal RNA
Source: RNAcentral
GUCCUUUUGUUUUUUAUUUAAGGUCUGGCCUGCCCAAUGAUUUAUUUAAUGGCUGCGGUAUUUUAACCGUACAAAGGUAGCAUAAUCAUUUGUCUUUUAAUUGAAGGCUUGAAUGAAGGGUUGGACGAGCAAUAUUCUUUCUUUAAAUUAUAUUAUGAAUUUAAUUUUUUGGUUAGAAAGCUAAAAUUUAUUUAUAGGACGAGAAGACCCUAUAGAACUUUAUAUAUAUAUUUAUAUUUAAUGUUUUGAUUUAUUAUUUUAUUUAUUUAUGUUAUAUAUUUUGUUGGGGUGAUGGGAAGAUUUUAUUAACUCUUCAUUUUUAAUUCAUUAAUUUAUGUUUGUUUGAUCUAUUUUUAUAAUUGUAAGAUUAAGUUACCUUAGGGAUAACAGCGUAAUUUCUUUUGAGAGUUCUUAUCGAUAAAGGAGUUUGCGA